AAUGACUCUCGGCAACGGAUAUCUCGGCUCUCGCAUCGAUGAAGAACGUAGCGAAAUGCGAUACUUGGUGUGAAUUGCAGAAUCCCGUGAACCAUCGAUUCUUUGAACGCAAGUUGCGCCCGAAGCCUUUUGGCCGAGGGCACGUUUGCCUGGGCGU
This 157-nucleotide ribosomal RNA is filed under the name Armeria villosa subsp. bernisii. RNAcentral's name for it is "5.8S ribosomal RNA". It matches the Rfam family "5.8S ribosomal RNA". From Rfam's summary of the family: 5.8S ribosomal RNA (5.8S rRNA) is a component of the large subunit of the eukaryotic ribosome. The record is from RNAcentral. Lineage: Eukaryota; Viridiplantae; Streptophyta; Magnoliopsida; Caryophyllales; Plumbaginaceae.